CCUGCCCCGAAGACNNGCCUAACACAUGCAAGUCGAGCGGUAACAGGUGUAGCAAUACAUGCUGACGAGCGGCGAACGGGUGAGUAAUGCUUUGGAAUCUUCCCAGUAGUGGGGAAUAACCAAUCGAAAGAUUGGCUAAUACCGCAUACGUCUGUAAAGGGAAAGCGGGGGCUCGUAAGACCUCGCGCUAUUGGAUGAGCCAAAGUCGGAUUAGCUAGUUGGUGGGGUAANNCCAGACUCCUACGGGAGGCAGCAGUGGGGAAUAUUGGACAAUGGGGGAAACCCUGAUCCAGCGACGCCGCGUGUGUGAAGAAGGCCUGCGGGUUGUAAAGCACUUUUAGUGGGGACAAAAAGCUACGGACUAAUACUCUGUGGUCUUGAUUUAACCUACAGAAAAAGCACCGGCUAACUCUGUGCCAGCAGCCGCGGUAAUACAGAGGGUGCGAGCGUUAAUCGGAAUUACUGGGCGUAAAGCGCGCGUAGACGGUUUUGUAAGUCAGAUGUGAAAUCCCUGGGCUCAACCUGGGAACUGCAUUUGAGACUGCAUGGCUAGAGUAUCGAAGAGGGAAGUGGAAUUUCCGGUGUAGCGGUGAAAUGCGUAGAUAUCGGAAGGAACACCAGUGGCGAAAGCGACUUCCUGGUCGAAUACUGACGUUCAUGUGCGAAAGCGUGGGGAGCAAANNGGAUUAGAUACCCUGGUAGUCCACGCCAUAAACGAUGACAACUAGAUGUUGGGAGGGUCUGCCUCUCGGUGUCGCAGCUAACGCGUUAAGUUGUCCGCCUGGGGAGUACGGCCGCAAGGUUGAAACUCAAAGGAAUUGACGGGGGCCCGCACAAGCGGUGGAGCAUGUGGUUUAAUUCGAUGCAACGCGAAGAACCUUACCUGGUCUUGACAUCCCAGGAACCCUUAAGAGAUUAGGGGGUGCCUUCGGGAGCCUGGAGACAGGUGCUGCAUGGCUGUCG
This 963-nucleotide ribosomal RNA is filed under the name Gammaproteobacteria bacterium. RNAcentral describes it as "bacterial SSU rRNA". It matches the Rfam family "Bacterial small subunit ribosomal RNA", at positions 30 to 1054 of the family's 1533-position model. Lineage: Bacteria; Pseudomonadati; Pseudomonadota; Gammaproteobacteria. The record is from RNAcentral.